UCUCUCUUAGUCAGUUAAGAGUCAGAAUUGUUCAGUUAUUUGAACUCAACCUAAUGUCUCUAGAUAAUCUCUUGGGCUGAACGUCUUUACCACCAGAGCAUACACUGCUGUGUGAGGGUUUUAGUGUUUCUCCUCACACCCCUUAACACAUGCAACAUCAAUAACACUUCUAAAUUUCUUUUUAGCUUGUUCAUACUUUGCACUCCCUCACAGACAUGCACACACAACCCAGUCAAAGUUUUCCACAGGAAACAGAGUCCUAGAUUUCACCCCAGGAGUUAGAGGUAAACGGAACCCACCUGCUAAGGAAUACUGGGUCAGAGGCGGAGGACUAUUAUGGUUUUACCCUGUUCCUUUUAAUGAGGCUGCAUUGCAUUACCAUACUACCUUUGGAAGAAAAAUACAUCUUGGCAGUUUGUUAACACCUUUCAUCUCUACUACCUACUGCAAAAAACCUACUGUCUUUAGUGAUCAGACUUAGCAAGGAAACAUUUAUAUAGCUCUAAGAAAUCAACUGAAGAUUAUAGAAUUGAAGUGGACAUUGCUGUCUAAAAAGGUGGAGGAGGCGGCUUGCUUAUGACCAUCUAAUAGUUUAUAACAGAAGUGGGAUUCAAACCAGAUUACAGUGUAGAUUGCAUAUUACAGUGAAGUACCUGCAAUCAGUGCAAGCAUCACAUAUGCAUCAAGGAUCACUUAAGUACUAUGGAGGAGACAAGCAUAUCAUAGAAUUAUAUGGAUUCCCAAACAACCUUCGAGGAAUACUAUAAGGGAACAAAAUGUCUAUGGAACAGUGGUGUCAUGUGAAGAAAAACUUUUGAAAGAGCUAAUUUCUGUCUCUUAGAUUACCCCAUUUUUCGCCUACCAGGUUUACUUUUGUUUUACCUAUGGGCUACUGUGGUCUGUUAGAGUUAGUCCACAUACUUGCAGUUGACAUCCAUUGGUGAGACUGACCAACUCUCUUGUGGUAUUGCUCAAUGCUUGUCCUUCACCUACUGAUUAAGAAACCUAGACUAACAUGCUUAACUUGAUUUUUAUUAUGAAAACAGCAUUACAACACAUAGCGGUAGGCCUUCUGUGGAAACAAAUGAAUUAGUAGCUCUGGCUCAGAUAACAGUUAGCAAGUCUGUAUCCUGUGAAUUUUGUUGAAGAUUGGCAGACUUCAAACAGGAAAAACACAACAGGAAGUUCAUAACCAAUAAGGCUACAUGAAAAGGCAAACAAUGUGGUUUCUCACACACCUUAUUGGUCUUGUUUAGAAAAGUCUAUAGAGGCAUGACUGAAAACCUUCACAAAAUGUGUUAAGUGCAACGCUGUGCAUAUAAUGCCUUGAUUCUGUGCAAUCAUUGGUGUACAAAUCCAUUGCACAUGGUCUAGAGAAGCUUGAUUGCACAGAAUCAGUAAUAUGCAAAAACAGUGUUGCAAUUAACAGACAUUGUGCUGAGAUAAUGGACCUGAACUAUUCAGCGAGUAUUCUUAUAUUUUUGUGAAGGUUCUCAGUCAUGCCUCUAGAGACUUUUCUAAACAAUCUUCAGUCUGAGCAGCACAUGGAUAAAGUAUUUCAUGAGAAAAAAGUAAAACUACAAGUAGCAGUGUUAAUAAAUCGAUGAGACUGAUAGUACACCGCUCUGGGCUCCUUGGAGGAAGAGUGGGAUAUAAAAUGUAAAAACAAAACAAACAAAAUCUUAGCAUGGUGCAAACUUACUGGAACUGCUUUCUUUUGAAUGAAAGAUAAAAUUGAUGUAUACCGCAAACUUCAAUAUAUGUAUGUUACUUUAUAAAGUAUUGUA
Molecule: long non-coding RNA, 1787 nt
Organism: Hemicordylus capensis (graceful crag lizard)
Lineage: Eukaryota; Metazoa; Chordata; Lepidosauria; Squamata; Cordylidae
Exons: 4
Source: RefSeq, a predicted model, not a curated record